This is a long non-coding RNA of Bubalus bubalis (water buffalo), 929 nucleotides long. RefSeq lists it as uncharacterized. The transcript has 3 exons. The record is from RefSeq and is a predicted model, not a curated record. NCBI's taxonomy places the organism in Eukaryota, Metazoa, Chordata, Mammalia, Artiodactyla, Bovidae.
CCUGUGCACGUAGUUGUGAGAGUGGAGAUGUGCGAGCCCGCGGGCGAUCUCCAGGCCCAUCCUCUGCAGUGUCCGCAGAUCUCGAGGGGGCAGCUCAGGGGACAGACCCUCGGGGGGCCGCUGGGCCCGGAGGUGGCGAGCUUUACAAGACAAGGAUUUGGGGCUUUUGUGUGCGUGGCCAUGUUCCCGGUGCCUAGACUAGCAGGGGACCGAAGAAGGGACCACCGUCACAGACCCUGUGCCAGGCAAAGGCCCAUUUUGUAUCCUCUCAGCUGCCCUCUACAUGAGGCUGCUCAGGCUUCCUGGACUCACUUUCUAGAUGAAGGUACUGAGGUUCAGAGUGGAGCCUUCUCCACUCUGAUUUCCAGCUCAGCUUUUGCGCUGUUUCCUUCGCUUGCAUCACACUGCCUUCAUGUCCCUGCCUCUGGCCCGAGGAAGACCCCGAGGCUCAGGGAGGGAAAUGAUCUAGAUUGACUGGCACAGCCAGGAAAAGGUACAUCUAGGAUUAGAAUCCAGAGUUGACCCCACACUGUACUCCUCCUGCUCCCAAACGUUACUGCCAUGAAGCACAGACUCAGAUAUUCGGGCCUUCAGGGCUCCAUGUCUACCCAGAGGUCCCCAUACCUGUACGGCUGUGCUUCGGAGAUGAACUUGCGCUGCUCCAGGGGCCCUGCGCUGGCUCGGAGUUCCUUCACCACCACCUGGGCCGGGGUGUAGUCGGAGAAAAUCUCUCCCAGGAUCACCUGCUCGAGGAGGACCCAGGAAUCAGUGCCUGCGGAUUCCCCAGCCCCAUCCCAGGGAGUGCCCUCCACCCCACCGGAUGGCUCCCAACUUCCCUCUCCUUUCCAGCCUCUUCUUUCAACUCCCACCACCCUCGUAUCCCCACCAGACGUGGGGUGGGAGACUCACAGGCCCAGAGUCCGAUGGAC